UACGUAGGGGGCAAGCGUUGUCCGGAUUUAUUGGGCGUAAAGAGCUCGUAGGUGGUUCGGUAAGUCGGAUGUGAAAUCUCCAGGCUCAACCUGGAGGGGUCAUUCGAUACUGCCGUGGCUAGAGGUCGGUAGGGGAGUGUGGAAUUCCUGGUGGAGCGGUGAAAUGCGCAGAUAUCAGGAGGAACACCCGUAGCGAAGGCGGCACUCUGGGCCGAUACUGACACUGAGGAGCGAAAGCGUGGGGAGCGAACAGG
Molecule: ribosomal RNA, 254 nt
Filed under: uncultured bacterium
Lineage: Bacteria
Description: partial 16S ribosomal RNA
Rfam family: Bacterial small subunit ribosomal RNA
Source: RNAcentral